AAGGAACCGAGACUCUCACGUGUGCC
RNAcentral lists this non-coding RNA (26 nucleotides) under Rattus norvegicus (Norway rat). The record is from RNAcentral. Lineage: Eukaryota; Metazoa; Chordata; Mammalia; Rodentia; Muridae.